GACUUUUCUUGGAGUCCAAAGCAAACAGAUGUUCUGUCUCCCACAAUGAUGCUGAGCUACUUACAUUUUUUCCCCUUGAGAGUCAAUAGUAGUACACAUAGUACAAUAGGAAUUUUAUUCAUUUUCAUGGGAAGCAACUGCACCAUUUACAUAGUCAAUAGACUGUGACAUUUCCAGAAACAAAACUCUGUGAAUGGAAUUAAGAAAAUUAUUGUCCUUGAGAGAAAGAAACUAUUACAAGUGGCUGCACUGAGAGAAUUAGGGCCAUUGUUCCAGGGACCAAGUUGAUUCGGGUCUGGUUGGGAGGUCCAUCUCUGCGACACGGACUAAGAGUUUCUCUCUUGAAAUAAAUUUACGUUGGACCUGAACAGACACCUGGCUCUGCAUAAAAGGAAAACCGAUGGCUUGCAUGUGGACCUCCUCUGUCAUCCCUAAUAUUCAGCACCUCGAAAUCUCAGACAUGAGUAAAGGAAGGGGGAGAGUUUCUUCUGUGGGAGUCAAGUGACUCUCCAGGAAACAAGCAGGGAACAGGUUGGACCAAACAGGGCAGAGAUUCAAAGAUGGAGGACAGAUGAGAGGGGCUUAAAAUGAACACGGAUAACUUCCCCUGAGGGGGAAGGGAGAAGAGGUAUUUAAGAAGUAAAUAAGGAUUUACUCUCACAUAAAGAAAAUGUUUUGAAAUAUGGACGAUAAAAGGACAUCAUCUUCAUCUUCUCUCUCUGUUUCGUAAUGAAAUCUAAAGGAAAAAUUAUGAUCUUAGGUUUAUGGAACAAACAAAAUCUCUAAGUCACCAGUGAUGCAGGCAAGUGAGGCACUCAACUGUGUAACAUUAUACAGAAAAAGAUGAAAAGAGAAAUGGCCUUUUUCUUCAAAGUUAUUGACAGUGAAGUUUCAGGGAGAGUAAAACAUUUUGAGAGCCAAGUCACACGAUAAGAACUACAUUUACUCUUCUAGCACAAAAUAGGGGAUCAUUAAAUGUCGUUCAAUAAAUAAAGGACUGAAGGUGAAUCAAAACACAAAUUAUUUUUUCAAGAUCUACGUACUCAGUACAAAGAAAUCUAAGACAUGGUCUCUGCAUUCAACAAGAACUACAGCGUAGUUGGGGAAGAAUUACCCCCCACCCCCAUUUAGUCAUGUGAAAGUUAAAAAAAUAGAGAAUUGAAACUUUUUAAGAGAAUAAUAGAAGAAAUAUAAUAAACUAAAGAUAGGUAGGAUUUAAAAAAUAAGGACGGUGUAUAUCCUGUAAGGAGUUAUGAGAGCAGAAACGGUGUCAUGGAAAAGAGCGAAUAAACAGAAUUAGUUGCAGAAGAGGUUAUUGGAAUACCAAAAAUAAAAAAUAAAAAUAAAGUUAGAAAUAUGGUUUAGAAUCAGACCAUAAAGACACACCUUGUUAUGAACUGAAUGUCUGUGUCUCCCCCAAAUUCAUGCUGGAGCCCUUAACCCUUCAGUGACUGGAGAUGGGGCCUUUGGGAGGUAAUGAGGGUUAGAUGAGGUUAUGAGGGUGGGGCCCUCGUGGUGGGAUUAGUGCCCUUAUAGAAAGAGACACCAGAGAUAUCACGCUCGCUCGCGCUCUCUCUCUCUCUCUCUCUCUCUCUAUCUCUCUCUCUCUCUCUCUCUGUCAUAUGAAGACAUAAUAAGAAAGUGGCGGUCUGUGAGCUAGGAAGAGAAUCCUCAUCAGCAAUCGAAUCAGCUGCCACCUUGAUCUUGGACCUCCCAGCCUCCAGGACUGUGAGAAAAAAAAUUAUAUUGUAUAAGCCACCCAUUCCAUGAUAUAUUGCCAUGGCAGCCCUAGUUGACUGCUGUACACUUCCGCCCGCAGAUAGUGGAAAAUAUUGGUUUUGAGACAGUAGUUUCAGGAAGAUAAGCGAUAAUUAAAUGAGCAUUUUAAAAGAUUAAUAUGCUGGAAGGCUGCAUGUUAGUGUACGGCAAACGAGGAGGAAGGAGGAAGGAAAGACAGCAGCGGCGGUGCCCAGUCAGAAGGCUUCACAGUAAGCAAAUGUGAUGAUGCACUAUCUCUGGGUCCCACAACAUGAAAGAAAGCACCGAGCAGAGGACAGGCAUGAAGGCAAGACCUGGUCAAAAGAAUACACCAGACCUGGUAGGUAGUUUGGGGAGGAGGUUUUGGAAUCAAGUGGGAAAUCUGAGGUGAGAUGCGUUUAGGGUCUGGAAGUAAGCAAGGCACAGAACCAAAACUGGCUGAGCAGGGGGUUGAGAAUUUGGAGGGCCAUGGGAAACAGAAUUCAAGGCAAAAGUAGUCACCAGGCAGAUAAUUAGGAAUUAGAUGGAUCCAGACAAGAAAAACAAACUUUAAUUAAGGACCAGAGAGACUAUACAAAACCUUGAGAAACAGACAAUUUGGGAUUGGAAAUUUAGGAGGUACUAUUAGGUAAAUGAGUGUUUUAUUCUUCAAAAUCUCUAUGGUAACUUAUCCAUCAGCCUUUGUUUUAACAUUUCUAGUGCUUCAACUAUGAAAGUAUCUCAUUCUUCUUUUGUACAGGCCUAUUUAUUAAGAAGUUAUUUGUUCUAACAUGAAGUCUACUUCAUUUAAAAAGAACUGAUAUUAGGUCUGUUUUCUACAGAUAUUUAACAUACGUUAAACUUCUACAUACUAUCCCCUCAGAUAACUGAAGAUGAAUAUCUCUGCCUCUUUCUAAGCAAGAUACCUCAACCUCCUUCAAACAUUCCUGGUAUAACUUAGUUCUAUAUUACUAUAUAUAGAACUGAAUAUAAUAUUCCAAUAGGCUCUGAUGAGUGAAAUUAUU
This is a long non-coding RNA of Pteropus alecto (black flying fox), 2762 nucleotides long. RefSeq lists it as uncharacterized. The transcript has 4 exons. Lineage: Eukaryota; Metazoa; Chordata; Mammalia; Chiroptera; Pteropodidae. The record is from RefSeq and is a predicted model, not a curated record.